RNAcentral lists this ribosomal RNA (403 nucleotides) under uncultured eukaryote. RNAcentral's name for it is "partial 18S ribosomal RNA". It matches the Rfam family "Eukaryotic small subunit ribosomal RNA", at positions 592 to 976 of the family's 1831-position model. The record is from RNAcentral.
CUGGAGUGUAUUCUAAUAUUGCUGCAGUUAAAAGGCUCGUAGUCGAUAUUUGUAAUGUGGAGGGAUUGGGCCAUUUUAUGGUUCGGUUUGCCUCUAAUUCAAUUGAAGUUGUAUGUCACUUUGAGUAAAGUGGAGGGACUCAACCAGGAUUUUUUGAUCCGCCUUUUCAUUGAUUUGGAAUGGCGGGCGAAAAGCUUAUUGAAUCCGCUGCACAUUCCAGCAUAGAAUGACGCGAUAGGAUUUGUCAGGCUGUGUGGGUUUCCUUUUUGGAUUCCCGCGCCCUGUCAACUAAUAAGACAUAUGAGAGAAGGGGGCUGUGGGUACUCUCCGGGAACCGGUGAAAUGGGUGGAUCCGGGAAUGACCAACGAAUGCGAAAGCACUCAGCCAAGUCUUUUCAUUUGA